This is a non-coding RNA of Equus caballus (horse), 95 nucleotides long. NCBI's taxonomy places the organism in Eukaryota, Metazoa, Chordata, Mammalia, Perissodactyla, Equidae. The record is from RefSeq and is marked provisional.
CAGUAGGCUGAGGCCUAGGAGUCUGUAUUUUCAUCAGCUGCACAGGUGGUUUUUAGGCAGCUGGUCUGGACAGCACGGUUCCCUGUGCCGCCUGC